GCGGGGAUAGCCAAGCCCGGGCAACGGCGCAGGACUUAAAAUCCUGCCGCGAAGGCGUUCGCCGGUUCAAAUCCGGCUCCCCGCA
Molecule: transfer RNA, 85 nt
Filed under: Thermoplasmata archaeon
Lineage: Archaea; Methanobacteriati; Thermoplasmatota; Thermoplasmata
Also listed under: 1 other name
Description: tRNA-Leu
Rfam family: tRNA
About the family: Transfer RNA (tRNA) molecules are approximately 80 nucleotides in length. Their secondary structure includes four short double-helical elements and three loops (D, anti-codon, and T loops).
Source: RNAcentral